Molecule: long non-coding RNA, 1112 nt
Organism: Pangasianodon hypophthalmus (striped catfish)
Lineage: Eukaryota; Metazoa; Chordata; Actinopteri; Siluriformes; Pangasiidae
Exons: 4
Source: RefSeq, a predicted model, not a curated record
UUGAUGUUGCUUCUUCUCCUAAUGAGAUUCCACAUCCUACGAAUUUUUAGGAAUGGAUAACGGGAAUAAAAUCGGCUGCAGCACUUCUGCAUGGAGCAGUCGCUCGCCGGGUGGACCUGCUGCAGGACGACGUAGCGCUGUGUUACUGCAGCGGCGUCAGCGUACAGGCUCGGGCCUUAUACACACACACACACACACACACACACGCUCACACACACACACUCACACACUCACUCACAUACACUCUCUUUAUUCACUCAUUUAUAACACACGCAGGACAGGACGCUGGAUUGUGGAUUUUUUUCCCCCCUGAAUGUUGGAUAUAGCAGUUUAAAUCCUGGACAUGAAGAGACACCGUUAUCUCUCUGUCUUCUCUCCUUCAUCCGUCUCAAGAAGACACAAGAAGACAUCUUAGAGAAGAAGACCCCCCUUCCUGACAGCGGCGGUCUGGUGGGCUAGCAGCGAUCCAUCUCUGUCAGAAAGCUAAAAUGAUAAUGCCAAUUAAACCAGAGGAGUAAUUUUUGGCUCUAGGUUCCCUCAAAAGACCUUGCCGUGGAACAGGAAUGAAAAGACCGACCUCAGGAGGAGGAGGAGGAGGAGGAGGAAACAGAGCAGAAAUGGCAGAAGCAGACAUGUGAAAGGCAGAGGGGAUGAUUGCUUGGAAGCUGUCAGAGGUGAACACACUGCUGGCAUGCUGGGAGGUUCUUUAGAUCAAGAACCAUUAGGAACCAUGAGGAACCAUGAGAUCACUCUGAGCUGGAGCUGAGAAGACUCGAGCUGGCAGACUGGCUUUGUAGGAAUUAGAGAUGCAAUAAUACCACACGGUUAAAACGUUCGAACCGUUAAGAGUUCUUCAGUUUUCCAUCUGAGGGAAGUUUCUGUGUAAAUACCCUACAUCCUAGUGAUUUCUUAUCUGUGUUCCAAGUAGAACCUUUUCUGGAAGAUAAGAGCCUUUAAUUAUCCAAUGAAUCCUUAAAGAACUCUUGAAGAACCUUUUGUUUCUAACUGGGUAAGUUUGUGGUACAAGCUCCAAAUUAUUGCUCAUUAUUCAUUAUACUUCUCAAUAUCUAGAACCUGUCAGGAGUUUAACAUUUUUCUCUUACUACUUGGUA